This is a long non-coding RNA of Nicotiana tabacum (common tobacco), 660 nucleotides long. RefSeq lists it as uncharacterized. NCBI's taxonomy places the organism in Eukaryota, Viridiplantae, Streptophyta, Magnoliopsida, Solanales, Solanaceae. The record is from RefSeq and is a predicted model, not a curated record.
UUAAUCUAAUAUUCCACAUCCAAACCCUAUUUCCCUAAUUUUCUCUCUCUCUGCUCACCAAUAACCCCCCUCUCUCUGCUCGACACCGAUAACCCCUCUCUCCCCAAAUAUAUAUAUCCCACUAUGUCUAUGGGGAUUUCCAGAAUAGACAUUGCUAUAUAUCCUCAACUAGAUCGGUUCUGCUGCUUUACCAUUUUACCCUACUAAUUUCCCCUUCUCUUGCUACUCAUAAUUCAACUUAGAACAGGGAAAGGAGCAUCUGGGCUAUCUUCAGUUUGGUUCGUUCGCUCAAACCGUUGCCCUCUUCCGUCAAUCCCAGCACCGUCUACUUCGAUCCAGUUCUAUAGUGAGAUAGUUGACACCUCUAUCUACGUCGUGACAUAAAUGUCACAAUUUCAACUCUGCAAGUGUAGUAUCUUGGCAUAAAGUAUUACUGUAUUUGAUGCAUAAGUUGUACUCAUCAAUUGUUAGUUUAGGAUAAAUGUAAGAUCUGUUUCUUUAUUCCAUGAUUUAUUAUAUCUGUUGUUGCAGAAGAGCCAUAUAAUAAGACAAGUAAAUAAGCAACAGUCUCUGUUUCUUCCGUUUUAAUCUUUUGUUGUUGACUUUCAUUAUGUGUAUGCAUUAUGACUCAAAUACCAUAUCCUAUUCAAAUUAGACUUA